UAUUCUCAAUCAGUGAAAUUGACUUCCCCGUGCAGAGGCGGGGAUACAUAUACAAGACGAGAAGACCCUGUGGAGCUUAAGACUAAUAAGUUAAUUCAACAAAAUUAAAUUCUAAAGGAAUAACAUAAUGAAACUUAACCUAUAGUCUUUGGUUGGGGUGACCUCGGAGUAUAAAACAACCUCCGAAUGAUAUAACCUAGAUUAACUAAUCUAAGUGUAUAAAUAAUACCAGUAAUUGACCCAAUUUUUGAUCAACGGACCAAGUUACCCCAGGGAUAACAGCGCAAUCCUAUUUUAGAGCCCAUAUCGACAAUUAGGGUUUACGACCUCGAUGUUGGAUCAGGACAUCCAAAUGGUGCAACCGCUAUUAAUGGUUCGUUUGUUCAACGAUUAAAGUCCUACGUGAUCUGAGUUCAGACCGGAGAAAUCCAGGUCGGUUUCUAUCUGUAUAUUCAUUUCUCCCAGUACGAAAGGACAAGAGAAAUAAGGCCAACAUUAAUAGAUGAGCCUUAGAAUUAAUAUAUGAACUAAUCUAAAUAUUCUCAUUCAAUA
This 552-nucleotide ribosomal RNA is filed under the name Echymipera kalubu (Kalubu echymipera). Its description in RNAcentral is "partial 16S ribosomal RNA". It matches the Rfam family "Bacterial large subunit ribosomal RNA", at positions 2024 to 2814 of the family's 2925-position model. Lineage: Eukaryota; Metazoa; Chordata; Mammalia; Peramelemorphia; Peroryctidae. The record is from RNAcentral.